Triticum urartu is the source of this 1960-nucleotide non-coding RNA. The record is from RefSeq and is a predicted model, not a curated record. Lineage: Eukaryota; Viridiplantae; Streptophyta; Magnoliopsida; Poales; Poaceae.
CCGCACACGCGCACCCCGCUCCUCCUCUCCUUUGCGCGGCUGCCGCCCGUCAUCCUCCCCCGCAUCACGCGCGCACGCGCCCCACUCCAUCCUCGCCGCCCGUCCUCCUCCUCUCCUCUGCGUCGUCGCCGUUGUCCAUCGCCACCGCGCCCUCCUCCUCCUUCCACCUCCUAGCCCGCGCCCAAUCUCCGCAGCCCUUCUUCCCUCCCUGCGCCCGAAACCCUAGCCCCCGACCAUGGUGCCCGAAUCUGCAGGAGGUGUAGCAGAGAGGUCCCAGUGACCACGGCGGCGCAUUCGCAGCCGGUCCACCUCGGGCUGCUUCUCCACCACCACGCACCUGCCCCGCGUGUGCUCCUUCUUUCCCGGGAGUGGGCCGCAGCCAUGGAGAGUGGCCAGAGGAUCAAGGACGGCCAACCCCUGCCUCCUCUCCAGCACGCUCGUCUCUGCCAUCUCUGCCAAAAAAGGAGACGGGAGCAAGAUGAGAAGACGAAGGAGAAGCCCUGCCAUCUCUGCCCCGUCCACUGCGUUGAGCGCGGCGACCGUCUGGGCUCUGCUUAUGCACCACAAACUAUUCACCUCCACGCCCCUUCCAAUCUCCCCAUCCCUUUCUUGCAUGUCCUUUUUGUGUAUGCCUACAAGUUGUUCGAUAAAAAUCCAAGCAGGUUGUAGGAGAAGGUAUGCUUAGUAACGUCAAAGAGAUGCCGCCCAUUACAAAUUAUUAUGAUAUUCAUCAUUACACAUUAGCACCACCAUGGAUAGCCAAGAUCCUUCCCAGCCAUGAUAAUCAGAGUGAACUUUGUUGUCAUUUUCAUCUAUCCAUCCAGAGGAAGUAGAUGAUUGAUAGAGAUUCGGAGAAAGCAAUUAAUAAAUGAAGAUCUCGAGGCUCCUAUUUCUUCAGAUUCAUUGCUAGCCCCACAAAGGAAGAGGAUGCCAGGACGAGGACUAUAAUCAAUCCCCGCCUUACUGUCCCAAUGACAGUGUCAAUGACUCCGAGCCUAGCGUUGUCGUCUUAUUUUCAUGACGGUGUGGUGUCUCGACGCGUGAUGGAUUCACUCACACGGAGGAAGCUUUUCUCCACUACUCCGGCGACAAGCGCACAAGCUUUUGGGUCCAUGGCGCCACCGGUAAACAAGAAAGGAAAUCUUAAAGAUGUCUUUAUCUCCCUCCCAAUGUCGAGGACUAUGGGAAGAUCGUUGGAAGCUGCUGCGUGCACUAGGGUCUGAUUAUAUGUGAGAAAGAAUGAUCUGGCCACUUGUAAUGGUGGUGGUAAUUCGAGCAGCAACCUAAAGAGAUCCAUAACAGGUGUCAUUUUGGAUCUCUUAGUAUCGCGGCGAAAAUGGCGGUGGCGGAGGUGGCUGAUGUGGCGGCGCGGGCGGCCACAGAAGAGGAAGUCAUUCGUGCCCGCCUUGUGAAGAAACGACAGUGAAGGAACACGCUUGCCCUCGCCCGAGAGUAGAAUCGGGCGGUCCGUGCCAUAGCCGGACUGCCACCAAAGGUAUUCACAAAAAAAGGACUGCCACCAAAGGAGGAGAAGGUGUACAGUGACAGAGAGGACAGCUCCAGCGACGAGCAGAUCCUGCUCUAUCCAUACCGCGUAUUCGACCGGUACUUUCGUGAGAAGGACGGCAGGGGCGCCGAGAAGGGCAAGGGCAGCCGUGGAUGAACUCCACCAUAGCCAAACAUGCUAAAUUUUGGUAGUCUGAUGGCAUCUUUAGUGUAGUGUGAUGGAGCAGUCGGACGAUGCGGGUGCAUCGACGUACUUGCAUGAGUUUGUAUCGAUUUAAGAUAUGAUAAUAGAGAUGUUCAGAUGUGGAUUACAUUAUUUGAGGGGUGCCCGGUCAGUGCCCGCGGACGCGUCCGAGCGCGUCCGCGGGCGUUUGAGGGCUGGAUUUGCCAAGUCCGGCUGUAAUGCUCUGACAGUAUCAGGAGGAGACUUCACCAAGGCCCAAGGCCAAAUCAA